GAUGAAGAACGUAGCGAAAUGCGAUACGUAAUGUGAAUUGCAGAAUUCAGUGAAUCAUCGAAUCUUUGAACGCAUAUUGCGCUCUCUGGUAUUCCGGAGAGCAUGCUUGUUUGAGUAUCAGUAAACACCUCAACUCCCUUUUCUUUUUUGAAAUGGGAGCUGGACUUGAGUGAUCCCAACACUUUUCUCACUGGAAAGUGGCGGGUCACUUGAAAUGCAGGUGCAGCUGGACUUUUCUCUGAGCUAUAAGCAUAUCUAUUUAGUCUGCCUAAAAAACAGAUUAUUACCUUUGCUGCAGCUAACAUAAAGGAGAUGAGUUCUUGUGCUGACUGAUGCAGGAUUCACAGAGACAGCUUUGCGGCUGACUUUGUAAACUCGAUCUCAAAUCAAGUAAGACUACCCGCUGAACUUAAGCACAUCAAUAAGCGGAGGA
RNAcentral lists this unclassified non-coding RNA (433 nucleotides) under soil metagenome. RNAcentral's name for it is "partial contains 5.8S ribosomal RNA, internal transcribed spacer 2, and large subunit ribosomal RNA". The stretch from base 1 to 120 matches the Rfam family "5.8S ribosomal RNA", at positions 35 to 154 of the family's 154-position model. The record is from RNAcentral.